RNAcentral lists this ribosomal RNA (433 nucleotides) under uncultured bacterium. Its description in RNAcentral is "partial 16S ribosomal RNA". It matches the Rfam family "Bacterial small subunit ribosomal RNA", at positions 29 to 507 of the family's 1533-position model. The record is from RNAcentral.
AACGAACGCUGGCGGCAUGCCUAACACAUGCCAGUCGAACGAGACCUUCGGGGCUAGUGGCGCACGGGUGCGUAACGCGUGGGAACCUGCCCUUAGGUUCGGAAUAACUCCCCGAAAGGGGUGCUUAUACCGGAUAAUGUCUUAGCACCAAUGAUUUAUCGCCUUUGGAUGGGCCCGCGUUGGAUUAGCUAGUUGGUAGGGUAAAAGCCUACCCAGGCGACGAUCCGUAGCUGGUCUGAGAGGAGGAUCAGCCACACUGGGACUGGGACACGGCCCAGACUCCUACGGGAGGCAGCAGUGGGGAAUAUUGGACAAGGGGCGAAAUGCUGAUCCAGCAAGGCCGCGUGAGUGAUGAGGGCCUUAGGGUUGUAAAGCGCUUUUACCCGGGAUGAUAAUGACAGUACCGGGAGAAUAAGCACCGGCUAACUCCGUG